RNAcentral lists this transfer RNA (76 nucleotides) under Spiroplasma sp. BIUS-1. Its description in RNAcentral is "tRNA-Phe". It matches the Rfam family "tRNA". Rfam says of the family: Transfer RNA (tRNA) molecules are approximately 80 nucleotides in length. Their secondary structure includes four short double-helical elements and three loops (D, anti-codon, and T loops). Further hydrogen bonds mediate the characteristic L-shaped molecular structure. tRNAs have two regions of fundamental functional importance: the anti-codon, which is responsible for specific mRNA codon recognition, and the 3' end, to which the tRNAs corresponding amino acid is attached (by aminoacyl-tRNA synthetases). tRNAs cope with the degeneracy of the genetic code in two manners: having more than one tRNA (with a specific anti-codon) for a particular amino acid; and 'wobble' base-pairing, i.e. permitting non-standard base-pairing at the 3rd anti-codon position. RNAcentral also lists the same sequence under 2 other names. The record is from RNAcentral. Lineage: Bacteria; Bacillati; Mycoplasmatota; Mollicutes; Entomoplasmatales; Spiroplasmataceae.
GGUUUUGUAGCUCAGUUGGUAGAGCAAUUGAUUGAAGCUCAAUGUGUCGGCGGUUCAACUCCGUCCAAAACCACCA